AGGAAGCCCCGGCUAACUACGUGCCAGCAGCCGCGGUAAUACGUAGGGGGCGAGCGUCACUCGGAAUUACUGGGCGUAAAGGGUGUGUAGGUGGCUGAAUAAGUCAAAGAUGAAAUCCCGAGGCUCAACUUCGGAAUUGUCUUUGAUACUGUUCAGCUUGAGGUUAGUUGAGGAGAGCGGAAUUCCCGGUGGAGCGGUGAAAUGCGUAGAUAUCGGGAGGAACACCUGAGGCGUAGGCGGUUCUCUAAACUAAUCCUGACACUGAGACACGAAAGCUAGGGGAGCAAACGGGAUUAGAUACCCCGGUAGUCCUAGCCGUAAACGAUGGACGCUAGAUGUUCCUGCGUUUAUGCGGGGGUGUCGAAGCUAACGCG
This 374-nucleotide ribosomal RNA is filed under the name uncultured delta proteobacterium. RNAcentral's name for it is "bacterial SSU rRNA". It matches the Rfam family "Bacterial small subunit ribosomal RNA", at positions 485 to 859 of the family's 1533-position model. Lineage: Bacteria; Deltaproteobacteria. The record is from RNAcentral.